AUGGGUGAAACAGUACAGUCACAUGUGACUGUAUUUCUUUUCACACAAAUACAGUGGAAGACGGAGGGUCGCUUUCUUUCACCUGCAUUUACUAUAAUGAACUUUGAAAUUCUUAUUACUUAUGUUUUGGUACCUCCUUGUUUGUGCAUGUUUGUAUUUGUAUAUCCUCUAGUAGGGUUGUGA
This is a non-coding RNA of Vicia faba (fava bean), 183 nucleotides long. Lineage: Eukaryota; Viridiplantae; Streptophyta; Magnoliopsida; Fabales; Fabaceae. The record is from the annotation of a GenBank genome assembly.